AUUUUUUUCAAGGAUGAGCUUUGCCAGCUCCAUGUGGAAGGCCCUAAAGCUCCUCCUUCCACUUGGAAGCACGACUGAUGCCUCCAGGGCCUCACAGCCACUUCUGAAGCUUUCUGAAAGCCAGCUCCACCCUGGUGAGGCCCUGACCUCAGCGGACCCAAGCCCAGGACAAUGCCUGUUGCAUUCUUCUUCCCCUGUAGCAAGUCACCUUCCCCAGCAGCCUCCACGUUGUCUGGGCUCUCACUUUGGGGGAUGCCAGGGGAGAGUGAGAGGGCAGAGUUGGCCGAGAUGGCGUGUGCUGACUUCUCUCCUGGAACAUGCUGCUUCCACACAGCAGUGCCAGUGUCUCCAUGUGAGUUCAUUGAUUGUGGCCUGAGCGAAUUCCUGAGUUUGCUGUUCCAGAUGAUUCUGCAGGGCUUCAAAACCAGCAGGGCACUGAGCAAAGCAGCUCCUUGUUCUCAUGGGCUGAACUCAUCGUGAUGUCACUGGCUAAGGGGGGCAGCAUGGGGUCCAGCCCAGCCCAGGCACAUGGAGCUGCGGUCCCGUCAGGCCAAGUGUGAUGUUUGCCUUCUAGGAUGGCCCCUGAGGCUGCCAGUUCCAGAGAGGGUCCGUCACCCAAAGACAUCCACACUGAAUCCAACCCUCUGCCGUUCUGCCUUGCCCGGCCCUCUGCCGUUCUGCAUUACGCCUGAUUUUUGGAAGUGUUGUGGUUUUGAGUGUUGGCAGCCCAGUGUCACAGAGGACCAUAUCUUAGAAAUGACCCCAGGCGAGAGCUGUGGCUUUCCUGUUCUGUUUGAAGGCGGCUGUUUUAGGGUGCAGAGGGUCCAGGGACACAGCGUGGGCCAUGAGGAAGGGAUGGGUGCUGGGGCCUGGCAGAGCCGGCAGGCGCUGUGACCUUGGUACUUAGUGAGGAAGGGGUGGGUGCUGUGACCCCAGUAGUUAGGAAAGGAUGGGUGCUGGGGCCUGGCAGAGCCGGCAGGCACUGUGACCUCGGUACUUAGUGAGGAAGGGGUGGGUGCUGUGACCCUGGCACUUAAUGAGGAAGGGAUGGAUGGGUGCUGGGGCCUGGCAGAGCCGGCAGGCACUGUGACCUUGGUACUUAGUGAGGAAGGGGUGGGCACUGUGACCCCAGCACUUAGUGAGGAAGGGGUGGGCACUGUGUCCCCAGCACUUAGGAACGGGUGGGCACUGUGACCCCGGCACUUAGUGAGGAAGGGGUGGGCGCUGUGACCCCGGCACUUAGUGAGGAAGGGGUGGGCGCUGUGACCCCGGCACUUAGUGAGGAAGGGGUGGGCGCUGUGACCCCGGCACUUAGUGAGGAAGGGGUGGGCGCUGUGACCCCGGCACUUAGUGAGGAAGGGGUGGGCGCUGUGUCCCCGGCACUUAGGAAUGGGUGGGUGCUAUGACCCUGGCACUUAGUGACCCUGUUGGAGCCUCACCUCCCAGAUCCAUAAAGCAGGGAUCAUGAAAACCAACUGCAGGCAGCAGGGCCUAUGGGGCACUCAGAUGUCAAGAAUACGAACACGUGGCUGCUGUUCCUCCCCCUGUUCCCGGUGCAGGUGCAGACCCUGAUAGUCGUGAUCAUCGGGAUGCUCGUGCUCCUGCUGGACCUUCUUGGCUUGGUGCACCUGGGCCAGCUGCUCAUCUUCCACAUCUACCUGA
RNAcentral lists this small RNA (1662 nucleotides) under Pongo abelii (Sumatran orangutan). RNAcentral describes it as "processed transcript". Lineage: Eukaryota; Metazoa; Chordata; Mammalia; Primates; Hominidae. The record is from RNAcentral.